GAAAAGCACCCCGGAAGGGGAGUGAAAUAGAACCUGAAACCGUGUGCUUACAAGUAGUCAGAGCCCGUUAAUGGGUGAUGGCGUGCCUUUUGUAGAAUGAACCGGCGAGUUACGAUUUGAUGCAAGGUUAAGCAGUAAAUGUGGAGCCGUAGCGAAAGCGAGUCUGAAUAGGGCGUUUAGUAUUUGGUCGUAGACCCGAAACCAGGUGAUCUACCCUUGGUCAGGUUGAAGUUCAGGUAACACUGAAUGGAGGACCGAACCGACUUACGUUGAAAAGUGAGCGGAUGAACUGAGGGUAGCGGAGAAAUUCCAAUCGAACCUGGAGAUAGCUGGUUCUCUCCGAAAUAGCUUUAGGGCUAGCCUCAAGUGAUGAUUAUUGGAGGUAGAGCACUGUUUGGACGAGGGGCCCCUCUCGGGUUACCGAAUUCAGACAAACUCCGAAUGCCAAUUAAUUUAACUUGGGAGUCAGAACAUGGGUGAUAAGGUCCGUGUUCGAAAGGGAAACAGCCCAGACCACCAGCUAAGGUCCCAAAAUAUAUGUUAAGUGGAAAAGGAUGUGGCGUUGCCCAGACAACUAGGAUGUUGGCUUAGAAGCAGCCAUCAUUUAAAGAGUGCGUAAUAGCUCACUAGUCGAGUGACACUGCGCCGAAAAUGUACCGGGGCUAAACAUAUUACCGAAGCUGUGGAUUGUCCUUUGGACAAUGGUAGGAGAGCGUUCUAAGGGCGUUGAAGCAUGAUCGUAAGGACAUGUGGAGCGCUUAGAAGUGAGAAUGCCGGUGUGAGUAGCGAAAGACGGGUGAGAAUCCCGUCCACCGAUUGACUAAGGUUUCCAGAGGAAGGCUCGUCCGCUCUGGGUUAGUCGGGUCCUAAGCUGAGGCCGACAGGCGUAGGCGAUGGAUAACAGGUUGAUAUUCCUGUACCACCUAUAAUCGUUUUAAUCGAUGGGGGGACGCAGUAGGAUAGGCGAAGCGUGCGAUUGGAUUGCACGUCUAAGCAGUAAGGCUGAGUAUUAGGCAAAUCCGGUACUCGUUAAGGCUGAGCUGUGAUGGGGAGAAGACAUUGUGUCUUCGAGUCGUUGAUUUCACACUGCCGAGAAAAGCCUCUAGAUAGAAAAUAGGUGCCCGUACCGCAAACCGACACAGGUAGUCAAGAUGAGAAUUCUAAGGUGAGCGAGCGAACUCUCGUUAAGGAACUCGGCAAAAUGACCCCGUAACUUCGGGAGAAGGGGUGCUCUUUAGGGUUAACGCCCAGAAGAGCCGCAGUGAAUAGGCCCAAGCGACUGUUUAUCAAAAACACAGGUCUCUGCUAAACCGUAAGGUGAUGUAUAGGGGCUGACGCCUGCCCGGUGCUGGAAGGUUAAGAGGAGUGGUUAGCUUCUGCGAAGCUACGAAUCGAAGCCCCAGUAAACGGCGGCCGUAACUAUAACGGUCCUAAGGUAGCGAAAUUCCUUGUCGGGUAAGUUCCGACCCGCACGAAAGGCGUAACGAUUUGGGCACUGUCUCAACGAGAGACUCGGUGAAAUCAUAGUACCUGUGAAGAUGCAGGUUACCCGCGACAGGACGGAAAGACCCCGUGGAGCUUUACUGUAGCCUGAUAUUGAAAUUCGGCACAGCUUGUACAGGAUAGGUAGGAGCCUUUGAAACGUGAGCGCUAGCUUACGUGGAGGCGCUGGUGGGAUACUACCCUAGCUGUGUUGGCUUUCUAACCCGCACCACUUAUCGUGGUGGGAGACAGUGUCAGNGCGGGCAGUUUGACUGGGGCGGUCGCCUCCUAAAAGGUAACGGAGGCGCUCAAAGGUUCCCUCAGAAUGGUUGGAAAUCAUUCAUAGAGUGUAAAGGCAUAAGGGAGCUUGACUGCGAGACCUACAAGUCGAGCAGGGUCGAAAGACGGACUUAGUGAUCCGGUGG
This is a ribosomal RNA of 1907 nucleotides. It matches the Rfam family "Bacterial large subunit ribosomal RNA", at positions 516 to 2426 of the family's 2925-position model.